CACGUCCUACGGGGGGCAACAGUGAGGAAUAUUGGUCAAUGGGAGAGAUCCUGAACCAGCCAAGCCGCGUGAGGGAAGACGGCCCUAUGGGUUGUAAACCUCUUUUGUCGGAGAACAAAGCUCGGGACGUGUCCCGGACUGCGUGUAUCCGAAGAAAAAGCAUCGGCUAACUCCGUGCCAGCAGCCACGGUAAUACGGAGGAUGCGAGCGUUAUCCGGAUUUAUUGGGUUUAAAGGGUGCGUAGGCGGUCUGUUAAGUCAGCGGUAAAAUUGCGGGGCUCAACCCCGUCGAGCCGUUGAAACUGG
Molecule: ribosomal RNA, 305 nt
Filed under: uncultured bacterium
Lineage: Bacteria
Description: bacterial SSU rRNA
Rfam family: Bacterial small subunit ribosomal RNA
Source: RNAcentral